Molecule: long non-coding RNA, 199 nt
Filed under: Nicotiana benthamiana
Lineage: Eukaryota; Viridiplantae; Streptophyta; Magnoliopsida; Solanales; Solanaceae
Description: long non-coding RNA (NBEN_LNC007582)
Source: RNAcentral
UUUAAUCCUUCAACUUGCAAUUGUUCUUGGAUUUUUACAUCCUCUUUUUCCCCCGGGGAGUCAAUCUCAGCCAAAUUUUCAUUUACACCGGUUAACUCUAAUUCCAUGUUUUUCUUUGCAUCACUAAUACUCAUGGAGUCUUUUGGCGGAUGUUCAAUUCUUGAAUCCUCAAAGUAAAGCUCACUUUCUUCCUCGGAAU